GUGCGCCGACUGACUGAAUGAUCCAACCGCUUUUCUAUUACUUUUGAUAGGGUGUGCGCGUGUGUGAGCUCAUCAUCUUGUUUUUCUGUGUUUCGUGAACUUGUGGAUUAACUUUUCUCUUCGUAAUACAAGACCCCCAUCCAGCGGACACAACACACCAAACAUGUCGAAUCCGGAAGCAGGAAACUCGAAUGGUUUUCCUAAAUUACCGCCUCCACCAACGGACAGUACGCAACCAUCUGGGGCGAACGGAGCGAACAAUGCCACCAACAAUCGAUUGAAGCAAACGCAGGCCCAGGUUGACGAGGUGGUCGGCAUCAUGCGCGUGAACGUGGAGAAAGUGUUAGAACGUGACCAAAAACUUUCCGAACUGGAUCAGCGGGCCGACGCGCUACAGCACGGCGCAUCGCAAUUCGAGCAGCAAGCCGGCAAACUCAAGAGAAAACAAUGGUGGGCCAACAUGAAGAUGAUGAUCAUCAUGGGCGUGAUUGGCGUGGUGCUGCUAAUAAUUAUCAUCCUGUCCAUAAUUUAUUAAUACACUCGACAUAUUUGCAUUAUUAUACAUACUCAACUAAUCGUUCUUAAAUCACACAUUGUGUAAGCAUUUGUUCCAAACUGGGCACGAGAUCAUCACGUGCAAUUAUCAUAGUUAAAAAGGGGAACAAUUCCAAUCACGUUCGUACAUAUAUCUAUUCGACGGUGUGAUUCUGUUAGCUCUUCCGAUGUUGUAACGUGUAGUGUAGUGCUGGAGAGUGAGUGGUGAAUACUGUUUCUUUUUUCUGCUAUUAUCAUUAUCCUGUUCACAUUUCAAAUGUAUAUCUAAUGUUACAUUUUAUAUUCCCGGGGUGGCGUCCUUGUACUGCGCAAUAAUUGGUCCCCCGUUUAAAGCGAGUAAUAUCGAUCCUAGAUAAAUAUAUCAAAUUAUAGGCAGUAUGCACAAAAACACACCACCCUACACAUGCAAGUGUAACUUUUACUCUGCGAAGAGAAUGAUAGCUAAAACACAAAAUUUGAACAAAUAGAUAGUCAUAGUUCAGAUGACAAUCGUACAUCGCGGUUUAAAUGUAUUUCCAAACACUUUUGUGCUCGUUCUAGGGGUUUCGCUAUUGCUUCACAUUAUUAUGAUUUAUUUGUUUGGUUUUGUUUUUCUUGGGCAUUUGAACAGGGAAUUGCCACGUAAGGGGGGGUUUUCAAUAGCAUUUUUAAUAAAUUUAUGUUGACCAAUGUACGCACAAGCACAUUGCUUUCGGAUAUCGAACGUUUUUUCACAUCCGAAUAUAUUUGCCAUUUUUCUGCUGAAUGUAAGAAAUGUUCGCUUACAGUUGAACACAUUGAAUCAGGGUACGGGCGGCUUUUAAAUGUUUUGUGUUACGUCCUGCUAUUAUUACUAUUCGAUCAGUCUGCUAUAAUGCAAGACCUUACGGUCUAAGUUCAUCCAACCAAUUCCGGCAAGCUGUUCAUGUAAAAAUGGGUGUAAAAUAUGUAAAUAUCAUGUUAACUGGACUGGUUCGUUUUUGGCAACACAAAAAGUUUGGAUCGUUCCUGGCUCUUCUUCCAGUUCCAGUCCUUCGAUCGAAUCGCCCACAACGGUUAAGCCGGACGUAACUGACGCUACACCACCGCAAUCCUAAUGUUCUUCCCUUAUCUUUAAGCUGUGUCUGUGAAUUUAAUCAUUGAAUGCUAAUCACAAACAACCCUAAUCAUUUAUGAAUUGGCAAAAAAAGUAUAAAAAUCAAUUUCUAGAUUGGCUUGCAGCAAAAAAAAAAAA
RNA transcript from Anopheles stephensi (Asian malaria mosquito), 1768 nucleotides. It is a transcript of the gene named synaptobrevin-1-like, with no coding region annotated. The transcript has 5 exons. The record is from RefSeq and is a predicted model, not a curated record. Lineage: Eukaryota; Metazoa; Arthropoda; Insecta; Diptera; Culicidae.